UUUAAAGGUAUAAAGCACAGGACUCAU
Molecule: non-coding RNA, 27 nt
Filed under: Cricetulus griseus (Chinese hamster)
Lineage: Eukaryota; Metazoa; Chordata; Mammalia; Rodentia; Cricetidae
Source: RNAcentral